AGUGAACGCUGGCGGUAGGCCUAACACAUGCAAGUCGAACGGCAGCACAGUAAGAGCUUGCUCUUACGGGUGGCGAGUGGCGGACGGGUGAGGAAUACAUCGGAAUCUACUUUUUCGUGGGGGAUAACGUAGGGAAACUUACGCUAAUACCGCAUACGACCUACGGGUGAAAGCAGGGGGUCUUCGGACCUUGCGCGAUUGAAUGAGCCGAUGUCGGAUUAGCUAGUUGGCGGGGUAAAGGCCCACCAAGGCGACGAUCCGUAGCUGGUCUGAGAGGAUGAUCAGCCACACUGGAACUGAGACACGGUCCAGACUCCUACGGGAGGCAGCAGUGGGGAAUAUUGGACAAUGGGCGCAAGCCUGAUCCAGCCAUGCCGCGUGGGUGAAGAAGGCCUUCGGGUUGUAAAGCCCUUUUGUUGGGAAAGAAAAGCAGCAGGUUAAUACCCCGCUGUUCUGACGGUACCCAAAGAAUAAGCACCGGCUAACUUCGUG
This 492-nucleotide ribosomal RNA is filed under the name uncultured bacterium. Its description in RNAcentral is "partial 16S ribosomal RNA". It matches the Rfam family "Bacterial small subunit ribosomal RNA", at positions 29 to 507 of the family's 1533-position model. The record is from RNAcentral.